GUUGCUCCUAGGCAACAUAUUUAUUAAAAAUUUAAAUGACACAGUGAAGACAAGCAUGUCUCUUGUGCAAGGAUAACAUGCACAUUUGUGAAGUGUUCCAUAAUUAA
Laticauda laticaudata (blue-ringed sea krait) is the source of this 107-nucleotide small nuclear RNA. The record is from Ensembl. NCBI's taxonomy places the organism in Eukaryota, Metazoa, Chordata, Lepidosauria, Squamata, Elapidae.